GCUUACGGCCACACCGCCUGGUUCACGCCCGAUCUCGUUUGAUCUCGGAAGCCAAGAUAGGUUGGGCCUGGUUAGUACUUGGAUGGGAGACCCUCCUGGGAAUACCAGGUGCUGUAAUGC
RNAcentral lists this ribosomal RNA (120 nucleotides) under Scophthalmus maximus (turbot). The record is from RNAcentral. Lineage: Eukaryota; Metazoa; Chordata; Actinopteri; Pleuronectiformes; Scophthalmidae.